This 2394-nucleotide long non-coding RNA is filed under the name Olea europaea subsp. europaea. Lineage: Eukaryota; Viridiplantae; Streptophyta; Magnoliopsida; Lamiales; Oleaceae. The record is from RNAcentral.
CCCCGUGCCAUUUCCUUUUAUUCCUCGAUUCUAAGUCGCAACUAUAAGAAGGAAUAAAAACCACCGUGGUUCCAGCUUCCGCAAUUCACUGUAUUCAAGAACCUCCCAAAACUCCUGCAAAACCCUAACAUUGAAACACAAACACUAAAAUAUUGUCAUGAAUCCCCUCCAUAUGCAUGAUUAAAGAGGCUCUUCAAUUCUUCUCCCACCAUUUGAAGAGAAAUACUUCUCCCCACUCUCCCACUUUGAACAAGUACUUGCACUGCCUCUCUCGCUCCAGCUGCAUUGAUCUCUCUCUUAAGCUUCUCCUCUACUUCAUUUCCAAAGGGUACACUCCUCAUCCUUUUUCUGUCAAUUCAGUUAUCUCAUAUUUGUGCAAUCUGGGCCAUCUUAAUUCUGCCCAGAACCUGGCGAAUUCACUUUUUCGCCUUGGUUUUUCCCUGGAUAUAGUCACUUAUACCGCCCUCAUUGAUGGGCAUUUGCGUAAUUCGGACGUUGCUAAUGCUUGUUUGACAAUGAAGGAAAUUGUUUGUAAUGAUAAUAUUGUGCCUGAUGUGGUUACUUUUAAUGUGCUAUUUAGAAGGUUUUCCAAGGAUGGAAUGGUAAAAGAGUUGCUUGCUUACAUGAGUUUGAUGUGGAAAGUUUGCAUGCCGAAUGAUGUUACUUACUGUAAUUUGAUUGAUAUGUAUUGUAAGAUGGGUGAUUUGGAUAUGGGUCUUAGGGUGUUCAAGGACAUGACAAAAGGUGGGGUUUUGCCCAAAUUUCUUGUCUUUACUUCCUUGAUUGAUGCGUAUUGUAGGGUUGGUGAUUUGGAAGUGGCAUUUAAUUUGUACAAGGAUAUGCAUGCGUGUUCAGUUUUGCCGAAUGUGGUUACUUAUGUGGCUUUGAUUGACGGGUUCUGCAAGCAGGGGAUGUUGCAGAGGGCUGAGCAUUUAUUUAGGAAAAUGGUGAAAGAUGGGGUGUUACCUAAUUCUGUUGUUUAUACUUUGAUUAUUGAUGGGCAUUUUAAGAGAGGCAAUGUGGAUAGGGCGCUUGAGUAUUUGUCUGAGAUGCUUGCUAGGGGCAUUAGACUUGAUAUAGUGACUUAUGGGGCUCUUAUACAAGGGCUUUGUGCUGGGAAUAAACUGGAAAGUGCAGUUGAGGUUAAGGAACAUAUGGUGAAGAACAGAUUGGCACCUGAUAAUAUCAUAUUUGCUACACUUAUGCGUGCAUAUUUCAAGGCAGGGAAUUUGAAAGCAGCACUAGAUGAGUACAAGGAAUCGUUAGCACAAGGGUUUGAGCCUGACUUUGUGACUCUAACAACAUUGAUAGAUGGCCUCUGCAAGCAUGGGCAUCUGACUGAGGCAAAAGGACAUUUCAGUAAAAGUAAAGCUAAUGAAGUUGUAUACAGUGCUCUUAUUGAUGGCAUGUGCAAAGAAGGAGAAUUUAGUCAAGUUCAGAUGCUUUGCAAGGAUAUGGCAGAGGCAGGCAUUGUUCCUGACGAGUAUAUUUAUACCUCUUGGAUUGCAGGGUUAUGCAAGCAAGGGGAUUUGGUUGAAGCUUUCAGGCUCAAGAACAAGAUGAUUAAAGAGGGCAUUAUUCCUGAUUUGUUGACCUAUAGCUCUUUGAUUUUUGGGUUGACAAAUAAAGGCCUCAUGAUUGAAGCAAAGCAAGUCUUUAAUGACAUGUUGGAGAAAGGAAUAAGUCCUGAUUAUGUAGUUUAUGAUAUCCUAGUUAGAGGAUACACUGUGCAGAAUGACACUGUUAGGAUUUCACAAUUGCAGGAUGAGAUGACAAAGAGAGGUCUUAUCAAGGAAACAACUGAUGUGGACAUUAGAAAGCUAUAAUUUUUUUAUGGCAAUUGCUAACUUUCAUUUGUCAAAUGAAAGCUCAUCUUGGAGCUUCCUUUGGAACAAUUUUAAUAGAUUAUGUGGGAGUCUUAUGUUUCUGAUCAAGAUAUCCACAUGAAAAGAGGUGCAAGGCAUUUUUGUACUCAUGAAUUCUGGAAAAGGCAAUUACUUGGCCUUGCAACUUCUUGUGUACGCCAUUUUUGAAAGGCAUUUUUGUACAAAUGAAUUCUGGAAAGCAAUUACUUGCCUGUACAACUUCAUAUGUACACUACUAUUGCCAUUUAGUUAUCCAUGUUGUAAGUUGUAACCAAUAUGCUACAGAAGUCAAAAAAGUUUCCUUUUCACUUCGGCAGUACCCAAACUUGCAUAUUAUUCUCACGUAUGUUUAGGUGACCUUUUAAUUUUCUAUUCACACCAGAAAGCAUAAUAAUGUUUCAAUUCAUGUCUUAGUUUUUACCUGUCAUCAGGUGACUCUUUAACACAAAUACGUGGCCACUGCUACAACUAUUCGAGUAACUCGUUCAAUACUGAGAUGAUGGGUAAGUGUCUUUUUCUCAGCAAAUUG